This is a non-coding RNA of Peltaster fructicola, 156 nucleotides long. The record is from the annotation of a GenBank genome assembly. Lineage: Eukaryota; Fungi; Ascomycota; Dothideomycetes.
CAGACGAAAAGACGUCCACAAGAGCCCCAAUACCAAGCUAGGCUUGAGUGGUGUAAUGACGCUCGAACAGGCAUGCCCCGGAAUACCAGAGGGCGCAAUGUGCGUUCAAAGAUUCGAUGAUUCACUGAAUUCUGCAAUUCACAUUACUUAUCGCAU